GUGGUCAGGAAAUCAUGGUUCUCCAUCAGAAAUGCUAGUAGAAAACUCUCACAAUACAAUAUUAAUAGAAAGGAGUAGUUAACACUGUAUAUUACUAUGAUUAUCACUAUGGGAAGGCAAAAGCACUUUCAAAUAGGAAGAAAAAGAAAAUUACACCAAUAUUAGCACUUAUUUAUGAUUAAGACAUGAAGCUAUGGAAGAAUU
This 204-nucleotide long non-coding RNA is filed under the name Bos taurus (domestic cattle). Its description in RNAcentral is "long non-coding RNA NONBTAT017219". Lineage: Eukaryota; Metazoa; Chordata; Mammalia; Artiodactyla; Bovidae. The record is from RNAcentral.